AUGCUGCCCAUGUUUUCAAGCCUUGUUUCAACAAAGAAAAAUCAAAUUUUUAUGGUACUUUGCUGUCAAAAACAGAAGCCUGCAAAACAGUCCCAAAAUGCCCAAAAAUGCUACAAAUCAAUCCCCAAAAAAACAGCAGCUUGUAUCAGUCCAAAACCUGCUGAAAAAACUUCUAAAAAAUCUGUUGUAAACCAGUCUAUACAGCCUGCUGCCCUGCAUCAUGACAACCUAAAAAUUGCAUAA
Non-coding RNA from Vicia faba (fava bean), 243 nucleotides. The record is from the annotation of a GenBank genome assembly. NCBI's taxonomy places the organism in Eukaryota, Viridiplantae, Streptophyta, Magnoliopsida, Fabales, Fabaceae.